RNAcentral lists this ribosomal RNA (253 nucleotides) under uncultured bacterium. RNAcentral describes it as "partial 16S ribosomal RNA". It matches the Rfam family "Bacterial small subunit ribosomal RNA", at positions 524 to 776 of the family's 1533-position model. The record is from RNAcentral.
UACAGAGGGUGCAAGCGUUAAUCGGAAUUACUGGGCGUAAAGCGCGCGUAGGUGGUUUGUUAAGUCGGAUGUGAAAUCCCUCGGCUCAACCGAGGAACUGCCUCCGAUACUGGCGGGCUGGAAUCCGGGAGAGGGAUGUGGAAUUCCAGGUGUAGCGGUGAAAUGCGUAGAUAUCUGGAGGAACACCGGUGGCGAAGGCGGCAUCCUGGACCGGUAUUGACGCUGAGGCGCGAAAGCUAGGGGAGCAAACGGG